AGUGAACGCUGGCGGUAGGCCUAACACAUGCAAGUCGAACGGCAGCACAGUAAGAGCUUGCUCUUACGGGUGGCGAGUGGCGGACGGGUGAGGAAUACAUCGUAAUCUACUUUUUCGUGGGGGAUAACGUAGGGGAACUUACGCUAAUACAGCAUACGACCUACGGGGGAAAGCAGGGGAUCUUCGGACCUUGCGCGAUUGAAUGAGCCGAUGUCGGAGUAGCUAGUUGGCGGGGUAAAGGCCCACCAAGGCGACGAUCCGUAGCUGGUCUGAGAGGAUGAUCAGCCACACUGGAACUGAGACACGGUCCAGACUCCUACGGGAGGCCGCAGUGGGGAAUAUUGGACAAUGGGCGCAAGCCUGAUCCAGCCAUACCGCGUGGGUGAAGAAGGCCUUCGGGUUGUAAAGCCCUUUUGUUGGGAAAGAAAAGCAGCAGGUUAAUACCCCGCUGUUCUGACGGUACCCAAAGAAUAAGCACCGGCUAACUUCGUG
This 492-nucleotide ribosomal RNA is filed under the name uncultured bacterium. RNAcentral's name for it is "partial 16S ribosomal RNA". It matches the Rfam family "Bacterial small subunit ribosomal RNA", at positions 29 to 507 of the family's 1533-position model. The record is from RNAcentral.